This is a long non-coding RNA of Photinus pyralis (common eastern firefly), 635 nucleotides long. RefSeq lists it as uncharacterized. The record is from RefSeq and is a predicted model, not a curated record. The transcript has 2 exons. NCBI's taxonomy places the organism in Eukaryota, Metazoa, Arthropoda, Insecta, Coleoptera, Lampyridae.
CUACUGCCGGCCAUUUGCAAAAGCCAUCGCGGUCUCGUGUAAAUUGUUGAUAUUCUCCUGUAUUCACCAUUGACUGUGAUGUUUUCUUAGAGAAGGAAGGAGUGAAGAGUGACAAUUAUCAUCGUAAAGUGAAGCCCUCAUUUGUUUGUUAUGGCACCCAAAUCAUGGCCGCCUACAGUUCAUUGGCGUAACGUUAAAACGGCAAUCAAAGCCUCCGCAAUAUUGCACAUACCAUCCUCCGACACUCCAUUUUCGAGAUAUUUACAUCGACAAUAGAUAUGUCUCAUCCAGAUGUUCCACACGCCUUCAAUGAGAACUCUCGUCCGACACUUCGUUUUAGGAGCGAUUCAUUUCGACCUCACCAGAGUUCAGGCUAUCCUUUAAGCCUUUGUAAGUACUCUGCUCCGACACAUUGUUUUCUAAAUAAUCAGACGUAAAGUUUUGACUCGCCAAGGGUGUUCCUUCCAGACCUUCCAGUCACCCUACCCUCCACUGAUACUCUGUUUUCGAGACAGAAGCAACUAUAACCGACCGUGAUAAGGGAUUGAAGAGGAGAGAUGCGGUGAUAAUUCCUUUGGUUGUAGAAAAAAUGGUCAGCACAGCAUGGAACAUUAACAACGACGUCAAAGCAUUUA